AUUGAACGCUGGCGGCAUGCUUUACACAUGCAAGUCGAACGGCAGCGCGGGCUUCGGCCUGGCGGCGAGUGGCGAACGGGUGAGUAAUGCAUCGGAACGUGCCCAGUAGUGGGGGAUAGCCCGGCGAAAGCCGGAUUAAUACCGCAUACGACCUGAGGGUGAAAGCGGGGGACCGAAAGGCCUCGCGCUAUUGGAGCGGCCGAUGCCGGAUUAGCUAGUUGGUGGGGUAAAGGCUUACCAAGGCGACGAUCCGUAGCUGGUCUGAGAGGACGACCAGCCACGCUGGGACUGAGACACGGCCCAGACUCCUACGGGAGGCAGCAGUGGGGAAUUUUGGACAAUGGGGGCAACCCUGAUCCAGCCAUGCCGCGUGCGGGAAGAAGGCCUUCGGGUUGUAAACCGCUUUUGUUCGGGAAGAAAUCCUCUGGGCUAAUACCCCGGGGGGAUGACGGUACCGGAAGAAUAAGCACCGGCUAACUACGUG
This 484-nucleotide ribosomal RNA is filed under the name uncultured bacterium. RNAcentral describes it as "partial 16S ribosomal RNA". It matches the Rfam family "Bacterial small subunit ribosomal RNA", at positions 28 to 507 of the family's 1533-position model. The record is from RNAcentral.